GACCUGGAAUGACACACGUGGGAGUGGGGAUGUGAGGCAGAGGUGAGGGAGCCUCCUCCCCCAUGGUGCUGCAAAGGCCGAGGUGCUGUCACAUGCCGCAGGUACUGCACAGACUGUCCUCGAGGAGCUUAUCCCCCCACCAAAACCAGGAUAAUCCUCACCUAACAGCUGGCACAUAAAGUCUGCAGCAAAAUGAAGUGGAGCUGGGAAGUGCUUUCUGCCACCAGGAGAAGGCAGCAGCCAACCUGGCCUCCUUGGGAAGCUGACCUUACUUCAAUGGAUAUUAAAUUACAGCAAACAAGAUUUUCUAAGAUGAAGGAAUUUUUUUCUUCAUUCCCAUGCAAUCCAUCCAGCUGCAGAGGUCUGCCAUGGGAUACUGCCUGGGAGGAAAGUGUGAGGAAAACCUUUGGGCAGCUCAGGGUCUUGUACAAGCAGAGUCUGUGCUCCAAUCCUCGGACAAGACUGAGUGCUGCUCCCAAAGCAAGUGAGGAGACAGCAGCCCACGUCUCCCAGAGCAGCUGGAAGCUGGGAAAACCUUUACAAGCACAUCAUGCCUUCCAUUACACGCUCAUCCCUCCAGCCUGCCAAGCAGAAAGCAGAACCCGGCUGCUGUGCCUGGCGGCGCCGAGACAAAUGACCAUCAUGAAAGGCAAUUUCCAUCCACUCCAGAGCAAAACCACAUCAGAAGCCCCUUCUGUGGGAGCCAGGCAAGCAGCUGGGCCGUGCCCGACCUCCCACGCACCAGCCUGGCCUGGUCACAGCAGCCCUGGCACCACAGCUCAGCUGACGUGUCGGGUAAGUGGAGGCAAUGCCACAGCUCCCAUCUGCUCCCCAGUGAUGCUCAGACACCCCUGCAUGAGCAGAGGCUUCUUUCAGCCAUGAGCUGCAAAAAAAAGAGAGCCAGGAUUUCCUAGCCUGCUUAUUGGGAAUCAGCCAGCAGCUGUCUGGUGGGAAGGGUGGCAUUGUCCCCUUGGAUUGUGAGGUUGCCAAUGGAUAAUUGUUUCUCCUGGGACAAGGAGGCCUCCCUCCUGCUUCCAGCUCUCAGUGGGAGCAGCCCUGGUUCAUCCUUGCUGGCAGAAGUUUGGGGGAUCCCUCUGUGCAGGAGUAACCUGCAGAAACUGUGGAGGGGACGGAGAAGCAGAUGAAAUUGUGGAGGGGAAGGAGAAGCAGAUGAAAAGGGGCCCAACUCUCCCUACAGAGCACUUAGUGCAGAGGAGGAGGGCUGGGAGGGCACUGGGGGCAUGUGCAGACAGCCCUGCUGAGCUGGCCACCAUCUCCCAUUCCCCAUGCUAAACCAACCCCCUUACACUGGAGGGAAGCUAAAGACUUAACUGGGAUUUCUCUUGUUGGGAGCACACAAGGUGGCUUGAGAUGGUUAUGAGUGCAGGAGACACCUCAGAGCAAGGCAGCAGAGAGGAAAAGCCUUGCAUUGGACCCCAUCCAGCCUUCCCCAGAGCUUUGCUUUUCAGCACAUUUGGUUUCUUUAGUGGUCUUCAUACAAAAUUCCCAAUAUUUUGAGAGAAGAGGCACUGAUCUGGGUGCUGGGGUGCUGCCACACAGUCUUGGUGGCUCAGGGGGCUUUUGGAGCAGCUCAGUGCAGUGCUGGGAACUGCUGCUCCUCCAUUUGGACAAAAUAAACGCAUUUUAGAGAAACUAGGAGAUAAAGGGGGUGAGUUUUGAUCCAGCUCUGCCUGAGCCCACCAAAGCCAGGCUGUGUCCCUCUGCACCAGUGCUUGUAUCACAGGGGAACGACCUCCAGCUGCGGUGGAGGGACUUGGCAGGAGGGACCAAAAAAAAGCUUCUCCAUUGUUCAGGGAGAGCUGGAGCCACAAGCCCCGAAUUUCAGGAGCAGCCUUCACCAUCCGGGUGGAGCGCUGCCAAAUCCCACAGCCUCCCUGCUCUUCCCCGGCCCCGCGCGCGGCUCUGCCGGCGCAGCUUCCCUCGCCGUGGUCCAGCUGCAGAGGGGCUCCUUUCUCCCUUAAAAGGCAGCCAGAGGAAUGUGGCCCGAGAGUGAGAGGCAGGAAAUGGGGAUUUCAGUCCUGUAGCUCUCCUGGAAAUGAUAUUCCUCUCUGCCUGCACGGUUUGAUUUUUUUUCUUUUUUUGGAAGCCCAACACAGCAAGCACCUGGCAGCGGUGUGGUCCCACGAGCCCUUUUUCUUUGCACAAACAUUUUAAAAUAGAGGCGGCAAAAAAGUCCAAGUUUUGUUGAUUGGAAGGAAAGCAGGAUUAUAUGGGAAGCUCCUGUGAUCUGCAUGCCAGGGCACAGCUUCCUGCAGGACCCACUGCACCUUUUGCCAUUAUCUUUGGAAACAGAAAGGGUGGCACUUGAGGAGGAACCUGCA
Passer domesticus (house sparrow) is the source of this 2342-nucleotide long non-coding RNA. RefSeq lists it as uncharacterized. The record is from RefSeq and is a predicted model, not a curated record. Lineage: Eukaryota; Metazoa; Chordata; Aves; Passeriformes; Passeridae. The transcript has 2 exons.